AUGAACGCUGGCGGCGUGCCUCAUACAUGCAAGUCGAGCGCACAGACGAGGAGCUUGCUCCUCUGACGUUAGCGGCGGACGGGUGAGUAACACGUGGAUAACCUACCUAUAAGACUGGGAUAACUUCGGGAAACCGGAGCUAAUACCGGAUAAUAUAUUGAACCGCAUGGUUCAAUAGUUAAAGACGGUUUUGCUGUCACUUAUAGAUGGAUCCGCGCCGCAUUAGCUAGUUGGUAAGGUAACGGCUUACCAAGGCGACGAUGCGUAGCCGACCUGAGAGGGUGAUCGGCCACACUGGAACGGAGACACGGUCCAGACUCCUACGGGAGGCAGCAGUAGGGAAUCUUCCGCAAUGGGCGAAAGCCUGACGGAGCAACGCCGCGUGAGUGAUGAAGGUCUUCGGAUCGUAAAACUCUGUUAUUAGGGAAGAACAAAUGUGUAAGUAACUAUGCACGUCUUGACGGUACCUAAUCAGAAAGCCACGGCUAACUACGUG
Molecule: ribosomal RNA, 496 nt
Filed under: uncultured bacterium
Lineage: Bacteria
Description: partial 16S ribosomal RNA
Rfam family: Bacterial small subunit ribosomal RNA
Source: RNAcentral